GCAGCGAUGUGAAGCAAAUCGCACCAAAGCCGGUCCCAGUUCGGAUAAGAGGCUGAAACUCGCCUCUUUGAAGUCGGAAUCGCUAGUAAUCGCAGAUCAGCAUGUUGCGGUGAAUACGUUUCCUGGUCUUGUACACACCGCCCGUCAAACCAUGAGAGUCGCCAACACCCGAAGUCCGCUUUGCGGCCUAAGGUGGGGGGAGAUGAUUGGGGUUAAGUCGUAACAAGGUAAC
This 232-nucleotide ribosomal RNA is filed under the name uncultured bacterium. RNAcentral's name for it is "partial 16S ribosomal RNA". It matches the Rfam family "Bacterial small subunit ribosomal RNA", at positions 1254 to 1500 of the family's 1533-position model. The record is from RNAcentral.